GAUGAACGCUGGCGGCGUGCCUAACACAUGCAAGUCGAACGGAAAGACGAGGAGCUUGUGCCUUUGACGUUAGCGGCGGACGGGUGUGUCACACGUGGAUCACCUCCCUAUAUGUCGGGGAUCAUCACGGGACACCGGCUAUAAUACGGUAUAAUAUCUUGCACCGUAUGGGUCAAUGGAGAAAGACGGCUUUGCGGUCACGUAUCGCUGGUUCCGCGCCGUAUUGGCUAGUUGGUAAGGUCACAGCUUAUCACGGCAACGAUGCGUAGCCGACCUGAGAGUGUGAUCGGCCACACGGGAACUGAGACACGGUCCAGACUCCUACGGGAGGCAGCAGUAGGGAAUGGUCGGCAGUGGGCGAAAGCCUGACGCAGCAACGCCGCGUGAGAGAUGAAGGUCUUCGGAUCGUAAAACUCUGUUAUUGGUGAAGAACAGAUGUGGAAUGAAACGUGGACGUCGUGACGGUACCUAAUCAAAAAGCAACGGCUAACUACGUG
Molecule: ribosomal RNA, 497 nt
Filed under: uncultured bacterium
Lineage: Bacteria
Description: partial 16S ribosomal RNA
Rfam family: Bacterial small subunit ribosomal RNA
Source: RNAcentral